This is a long non-coding RNA of Malania oleifera, 2596 nucleotides long. RefSeq lists it as uncharacterized. The transcript is spliced from 2 exons. The record is from RefSeq and is a predicted model, not a curated record. Lineage: Eukaryota; Viridiplantae; Streptophyta; Magnoliopsida; Santalales; Ximeniaceae.
AUGGUGCAAGCAAAACUCUAAAAAGAAAAUUCAUUUUCUUUGUUUUCUUUUCUUUUCUUAUUCUUUCCAAACCGAAAUCCUGGCCCUCUUCUCUCGCCACCCUCCUCCGCAGCUCCACCUUCUUCCUCUUCUUUCAACUCGAAGCCGCGGUAAAACCCCAACUGUGCCCUCUCACGUUGUCGAUGCUGCAACCGAAACCGUCUCUUCUGCAACUCCACUCAAAACCUCGCAAGGCGAUCUCUGGCGGCAUGAAAAUCACGGCCGACAGCAUGGACAGACGAACCACAUACACCGGCGGAGUUUGCUAUCAUCGAGUAGACAGUGCCGACGGCAACCCGCCGGUGCCAUCGUCAACGGUGGGCUGGAGCAGAGGAGCAGAUUGUGCGGUGGAGAUGGAGAGUUCCAACUUUCAGAUGAGAUGGGAGACAUGAAUAGGAUUAUGGUUUGGCUGUGAAGGUGGGGGUGUUGGCGGUGAAGUCCAACCAUGGAUCUCCUUGACUCAGAUAAGUCCCUUGUUUGUUCCUUUUUGGGGUCUUGAUUUUGGGUUGUUUGUGUUGUCCAUUAUGUGUCCUAGUGUGACCGUGAGUGAGGCUGUGUGUGUGGGUGAGUGCUGUGAGAUCAGUGAGUGGGUGAGAGUGCUCGGCUGUGUGUGAAUAGUGUCGUGUGUGGGACUGAUUUGGGUGCUGGUUUUGUGUUCUGGAGUGUGUGAGCAGUUCGGUGUCUUGGUGUAGCCGUGGGUGAGGCUGUGUGUGGAGGUGAGUGCUGUGAGGUUGGCUUGAUUGAAUCUGAGGCUCGGAUGAUGUAAGUGUCUUGUGCUUGAACCUGCUGAAGUUAGGGUUUCGGGAGUCUGGGGGGCGAGGUUGGAGACAGGUGAACCCGUCUCAACUCAGUGAGUUGGAUCUGAGUCUGAUUUCACGGAUUCAGUGGGCUAUGUGGUGAUUUUGGUGGGCCUUUGGUGCUCUCUUGAGUUGGGCUUUAGUUCAAAAUUCAAAAUGGGCUUUGGACCUAGGACUCAGACUGGCCUUGGGGCUUUGCAAUUGAAAUAGGGGUAGUGGAUUUUUAAGGUGGCUUGGGUGAAUUUUGAAAACAAAAGCCGGGCUGGGGUCAUUGAAAAUUGGGCUGGUUAAGCGAAAAUGGGCUCCGAGGUUUGAUUGUCAAAAAUGGGCCGGAUGGUUUUCAAAGUGAGAGUGGGCCUUAUUUUACGAUGGUGGUGGGCCUGUGCUUGUUGAAAAUGAACCUAGCCUCGUUUUAAAACAUGAGUGGGUUGGGGUUUUUUAAAAUGGGCGUUGGGCUUAUUUUUUGAAAUGGGCGUUGGGCUGGACUUUAAGGUGGGAACUGAGCUGGUUUUUAAGAUGAAAACUGAACUGGUUUUGAACAUGGGUGGGCCGAGGCUGUUUAAAAGUGAACCGGGCUUGAGCAUCAAGUGCGAACAGGGUCUAGAUCCAGGGGAUGAUUCAAAGCUGGUCCGGAUUCUGGUUCAAUUUCGGAUUCAAAGGGGUUCGGGUUUCCAAUUCAGGUGAUUUUCAGAAUGGGCUCAGGGAGUCUGGGUUGGUUGGGUGUUCAGGUACAAGGGGUAAACGGAUCAAUUUCCAAAUGGUGGGUUCCAUUUGGGUCGAAAGACCCGAACCCCGGGUUCAGGUAUGAGCAGUUCAAGUGGCUUGAGUUUAGGUUCACAUUCUAAUACGAACCUGAGAGGAUUUCCCUGCACUCAAUAUGGACACACAAAGAUCACAGAAUUCAAUUGAAACAAGGUUGAGAGCCUGGAACAUUACGUUCUUUUCUUUCCUCCUCCGGUCUUCUUCUCCCUUCCCCUAAGUCUGUAUGUGUGAAUUCUGAGCACCUGGAAUUCCCUGAGGUUCUGCUUCUGUGUCACUGGAUGCUGCAGAUUCUCCUUCCCCUGCUCUGGCUUGGUGUAGACCUCUCCUCGGCCCUUUGUCGAACAGAACCUCCUCCUCUCUUUUCAAUUCACUCUCUAUGUUGGCGGAGUUCCUUUACUCUUACUUGCCUUCUUUUCUCUCUCGAUUUCUGCAGGGUAAUUAUGUGCUCUUUCAGAGGAGGUGUCUCGCUACAGUGCUGGAACUCCCUAUUUAUAGGGAGUCCAAGGGUGCGUUUUGGCGCCAAUUUCCUCAGCAAGUCCCCACUAAUAGCCUCUGGCAGGGAAGAAUUGUCCCCGACACGUGUGACUGAUUCGGUUCUUGAUUUUGCGGAUUUCUUGGCUAACUAAUUCUCAUUCCCUGCGCAGGUAAAUUGGGGCAAUCCAGGUGGCAGCACAGGAAUGGAGGGCAUUUGGGAGGUUUCCAUAUGGCAGCACCGGGAUGGAGGGAGAGUAGGUGAGGUGAUCCAGAUGUCAACAUAGGAGAGGAGGGCUUUUUGGAUGUCUCAGCUUGGCAAGCCUGGAUUGGAGCAUGGAAGAAUUCAGCGCUCGUUUCUUCUUUUUCGUAUUUUGAUUUUUGUAAUCAUUAGUACUCAUCAUGCCCCCUGCAAUCUGUUAUCAUACUUUCCAAUUCAAAUUUCCAUUUGACAAACUUUGUACGAGGGGAUUUGAUAACUCUUGAUUUGACCAAUUAUGCCCAAAUAAAACAGAUUUUGAUUUUAA